RNAcentral lists this transfer RNA (66 nucleotides) under Pyura mirabilis. RNAcentral describes it as "tRNA-Leu". The record is from RNAcentral. Lineage: Eukaryota; Metazoa; Chordata; Ascidiacea; Stolidobranchia; Pyuridae.
UUCCUUAUAGGAUAAGUUAAUCCACCAUCUUUAGGAGAUGGUUAUACAUUUGAAAUGUUUGGGAAU